This 449-nucleotide ribosomal RNA is filed under the name uncultured bacterium. RNAcentral describes it as "partial 16S ribosomal RNA". It matches the Rfam family "Bacterial small subunit ribosomal RNA", at positions 29 to 523 of the family's 1533-position model. The record is from RNAcentral.
AGCGAACGCUGGCGGCAGGCCUAACACAUGCAAGUCGAACGGACCCUUCGGGGGUAGUGGCGGACGGGUGAGUAACACGUGGGAACGUGCCUUUAGGGUCGGAAUAGCUCCUGGAAACGGGUGGUAAUGCCGAAUGUGCCCUUCGGGGGAAAGAUUUAUCGCCUUUAGAGCGGCCCGCGUCUGAUUAGCUAGUUGGUGAGGUAACGGCUCACCAAGGCGACGAUCAGUAGCUGGUCUGAGAGGAUGACCAGCCACACUGGGACUGAGACACGGCCCAGACUCCUACGGGAGGCAGCAGUGGGGAAUCUUGCGCAAUGGGCGAAAGCCUGACGCAGCCAUGCCGCGUGAAUGAUGAAGGUCUUAGGAUUGUAAAAUUCUUUCACCGGGGACGAUAAUGACGGUACCCGGAGAAGAAGCCCCGGCUAACUUCGUGCCAGCCGCCGCCGUAA